Molecule: RNA transcript, 4900 nt
Organism: Rhodamnia argentea
Lineage: Eukaryota; Viridiplantae; Streptophyta; Magnoliopsida; Myrtales; Myrtaceae
Gene name: putative pentatricopeptide repeat-containing protein At5g52630
Exons: 3
Source: RefSeq, a predicted model, not a curated record
CGUUCUUCCAAAUCAGGUUUUUCACUAAAUGUCAAAAGUGCAUAUAGUCCGGCUUAGAUUGGAGUCAUCCAAUCGAAUAAAACAAGACACGAACCUUCCAUGAGCUUCAAUCCGACAUCUUACGCUGAUAUAAAUCAUUUCCACAUCGCUAAAACUUCGGACAAAGAUCUUGUUGAAUGUUCCCGCUAACGCCGCCCCGAGAAAACAUGUGAUGUGCCCUGUUAGCUUCCGCGACAAUGUCGGGAUGUUGAAGGUGAGAUCACAUUCGUGGGGCUUUAGCCUCUUCACUCGAGAGGGAUGUUAUCAUACCGGUCGGGCUAAAAUCGGAAAUUCCGUGCCCCACGUCGUCAAUUCGCCUUGUAGCACUUUCGAAUCCAACCGGGUGCUGAAACACUUGUCUAAAGAGGGUCGAAUUGAUGAGGCCCGGAAGCUGUUCGAUGAAAUGCUCGACAGAGAUGAGUAUUCGUGGAACACAAUGGUUGCCGCUUAUGCCACUUCAGGGAGGUUAGAUGAGGCUAAAGAGCUUUUCGAGGAGACUCCAAUUAAGAGUUCGGUUACUUGGUCUUCCCUCAUUUCGGGGUAUUGUCGACAUGGGUGUCCUGGUGAAGGAUUUAAGUUCUUCUGGCGAAUGCAGUUGGACGGUCAGAAGCCCACCCAGUUUAGCUUGGGCAGCGUGCUUAGAGCAUGCGCCUUGUCGGGUUCUCUCCAAAGAGGCAAGCAGAUUCAUGGCUAUGCAAUGAAAACGAAUUUCGGCCUUAAUGAUUUUGUUGUCACGGGUCUUGUUGACAUGUAUGCAAAGUGCAGAAGCAUCUCUGAGGCAGAGUAUCUCUUUGCGACGGUUUCUGAAAGGAGCAAUCAUGCACUCUGGAGUGCCAUGAUCACCGCGUAUUCUCAGAAUGGUGAUGCAUAUAGAGCAAUGAUGUGUGUUAAGGAAAUGAGGAAGCAAGGAAUUGAAUUCGAUGAGUACAGUUUACCUAGUAUACUUGCAACUUGUGCAGCGGUUUCAGCUGAUGCUUUCGGGGCACAGGUGCAUUGCUGCAUCAUUAGGAGUGGGUAUGGACUUAGUGCAUUUGUUCAGAGUGCGCUGGUUGACAUGUAUGCGAAAUGUGGAGAUCUGAGCAGUGCUAAGUUGGUUAUAGAGGCUACGGAGAUUGAUAGUGUGGUUUCUUGGAACUCAAUGAUUAUGGGUUGCAUGAGGCAGGAGUGUGAAGAGGAAGCACUAUACCUUUUUAAGAAAAUGCAUGGAAGAGAUAUGAAGAUUGAUGAUUUUACUUACACAUCUGUUCUAAAGUCUCUUGCUUCCAUGAUGGAUUUGAAACUCGCAACAUCUGUGCACUGUCUGAUCCUAAAGACGAGAUUUGAGGCUUAUCGACUAGUAAGCAAUGCACUCAUUGACAUGUAUGCUAAACAGAGAGAGAUCACUUGUGCAUGUGAGGUGUUCAAGUGUUUGCUGGACAAGGACGUCAUUUCAUGGACUUCCCUGGUCACAGGAUAUGCACACAAUGGCUUCUUUGAAGAAGCUCUCAGGUUGUUCUGUGACAUGACAGUCGAGGGGAUUUAUCCUGAUGAAAUGGUUGUUGCUAGUAUUUUAAGUGCUUCUGCAGAAUUGACAGCUCUAGAAUUUGGGCAACAGGUUCAUGGAAUUGUUGUGCAAUCAGGCUUUCUUGAUUCACAAUCUUCAACAUCAGUUGGCAAUUCUCUCAUCUCAAUGUAUGCAAGAUGUGGAUGCAUAGAAGAUGCUGAUCGAGUGUUCAACUCAAUGCAAGUACAUGGCUUAAUCACAUGGACAGCUCUUAUCAUGGGUUAUGCACGUAAUGGCAAAGCAAAAGAAUCUUUACAGUCCUACAAUCGUAUGAUUGCUGGUGGAGUAAAGCCUGAUUACAUCUCUUUUAUUGGCCUAUUAUUUGCAUGCAGCCAUGCCUGUCUUGUACAAGAAGGUCGCAUGUACUUUGAAUCCAUGACCAAGACUUAUGGAAUAAAGCCAGGCCCUGAGCACUAUGCUUCAAUGAUUGACCUGUUAGGGCGCUCUGGAAAACUUGCUGAGGCUGAAGAAUUGCUUAAUCAAAUGUCUGUGGAACCAGAUCCAACAAUAUGGAAGGCACUACUCGCUGCAUGCCGGGUACACAAAAACUUGGAACUGGGAGAGAGGGCGGCAAGGAAUCUUUUCAAACUGGAACCUAUGAAUUCUGUUCCUUAUGUUCUCCUAGCUAAUAUAUAUUUUGCCUCUGGUAAACUGGAAGAGGCUGCAAAAAUUUGGGGUUUGAUGAAAUCAAGAGGAAUCAAUAAAGAGCCUGGUUGUAGUUGGGUUGGGAUCAAUGGCCGAGUUCACACCUUUGUAUCUGAAGAUAGAGGGCAUCCAAGAAUGUAUGAUAUAUAUUUAAAGAUUGAUGAAGUAAUGCAAUUAAUCAAGAAAGCUGGUUAUGUUCCAGAUUUAAGUUCAGCGUUACAUGAUGUCGAUGAAGAGGGCAAAGAGCUUGGUCUUGCUUAUCACAGUGAGAAAUUGGCUGUUGCCUUUGGGCUGCUUGCUGUGCCCCAUGGAGGCCCAAUUCGAAUUUAUAAGAACCUUCGGGUAUGUGGUGACUGUCACGUUGCCAUGAGGUAUAUAUCACAAGUGUUUAGUCGCCAUAUAGUUCUGAGGGAUUCAAAUCGCUUUCAUCAUUUUAGGGAAGGGGUCUGUUCAUGUGGAGAUUAUUGGUGAAAAAUACAAAUCCCUUCAUGCUUCCCGUACAAAGAAUGGUUAAGCUAUGCAUCAGUGCAUCCGAGGUUGUGGCGGAACUGAAAAGGCUUGAGGAUUUUGAACUUUUGUUGAUGAAUUUUGGAAUUUUCUUAGCAUUUUUGAAUUGCUUACUCUAGGGCGGCCAUUCUACUAAGAAAAGGGCAUAGGCUGAUCAAAAGCUAAACAGAAGAAUAAUGUGGAGCAGCAUUUACACUCAGUGGAGAGAAUUGCAACGGAUAUACAUCCACACAUGGCUUCUAUAUCCCUGAAGCUGUUGCAAUCGAUGUUGGUUUGUUUUCGGUCACUAAACCUGGUGAUGAUCAGAUCUAUCGAGGAGGCACAGGCCAAGAAUUUGAAGAUGAUAUAGCAUUGCAUGAUGAUAAGUUGUGACCUGCUUCUUAUGAUUUGACCUAUCGCUCAGUUAUUUCUUUAUUCAAAUCUCUUAAGAACGAAUUGUCUUUUUAGGGAUUGGGAACCUCAUUCAAGCAAAUUUCAGGAUGCUGAACCAAUUUAAUUUCAAUUAUGGCAACAAUUGGUAGUCGAAAUGGAAGAUGCAAGCAGACCUCAAGGGCUGAGAGUUUGGCCCGCAACAUCUCUUGAUGCGGUCCUUGAGGUUAGUUGCCUAGCUCAAGACUUAUCUGGAUAUAUUUUCCGACUCUGAAUAUUUGGUAUUUCUCCUUAUAAAUUCAAAUUUGUUAUGCAAACUCGAAACAGAGGAUAUAGUCAACUUUAAGAAGGUGCUGUAAGAUAACAGAUAGGCAAAUAAGAGAAGUGCAGACUACACGCAUAAGUGACCCAUCUAUCUGGCUUGUCCUGCAAUAGACUUUUAUUCUCCUUACUUAAUCAAUGCUCCACACACUAUUUAAGCUGUGAUAAUGUAGGUCUGGUAAAAGAGGUCUUUUCUUACUUCUUUAGAUGCAUAAUUGGGGAAUAAGCAUUACCUCUUUAGAUGCUUAAUCGGAAAUAUGCUGGAAAUUCAAUCCUCUUCUUAUUAGCAACCAUAUUUGUCAGUUCAUUAGUGAUUAUGGACUUCCCUUGUUCUUUGUAUUGAGCAUAUUAGUAUUUUGAAUAUAGCAAAAUAAGAAAGCAAGCAACUUCCAAUCAAGCUAUGGAUAAAGAUAUGGUAUCACAGCUGUAUUUCCAAACCCCAAUUCCAAAAUUGAGAGGUUGCGGAAGAUGACUCAUGCUGUAAUAUGUAUACUUUUUUUUUUUUGGUCGGAUGUAAUAUGCUAUGCUGAUAUGCUAUACGUUGGAAAGCUAAUGAGCAUAGCAGACAAUUGAGCAUGAACUAGGAAACCUUCUCAAAAUAGGAAAACCAACCGGAACAGGAAAGCUACUCAAAUUAGGAAACCUAGUUAAAUAGGAAAUGUACUUAAAUUGGGAAACUACUUAAACUAGGAAACAUUCCUUCAGUCUUGACCCAGCUAAAUCAGUCUAUGUUGUUCAACUUCUAGAAACUCCAUCUGGAGCGCCUUCUGUUCAUUGUACCCAUCAAAUCAUUAUGUUGAGACCAAAAUUUCCCUUUGCUUGCACAAAUAUCAGAUGGGUUUUGUAGAUUGACGAGGCUUGAGUUGGGAUUGUGAGUUGUUUCUCGUCAAUGAAAUUUCCAUAACUUUGAUUCUCCUGCAUCACAUGCAACUUCAAAUACACAUAUGGUGUCACAGCUGUAAAUUCCAAUUCUGAUUUCCAAAAUCAGGAGGUUUGGAAAAGAUGAACCUUGGGGUAACAUGUAUAUGUUGGUAAGCUAAUGAACACGGUAGACAAUUGAGUUUCUAACUUUUUCCAAUUAUGCAUGUAAUGGAUUUUUGGGUAAUAUUAUUUGAUAUUUUUCCUAAAAGUUUUUGAAACGUAUUCUUGCUUAGUGGUGAUUAUAUAUUAAGGAAGCAGCCUUCGUGGUGAGUAUCUGAUACAUUCAACUUGAGAAGAUAAACAAUACAUGGAAGGCAUGGAGGCUAGGGUUUUGAUGGUUGUAUGCACACUAUUAGGCCUUGUGUCUGUAGGUGUAGCAGCACCGGGGAAUGCAACUUUCUAUGUACCUCAUAAGCCAUCGGAUUGCCCUGGAGUGAAGGGACCAGGGCCGAUGGUUGCCGCAGCUAGCGACUCCAUCUGGAAUAAUGGAGCCAUAUGCGGGAAGAAGUUCAAGGUGACAUGCAUAGGCCCUCCGAGUACUGGUCGGAAAUUCCC